GGAGAGAUGGCUCAGUGGUUAAGAGCACUGACUGCUCUGCCAGAGGUCCUGAGUUCAAUUCUCAGUAACCACA
Molecule: non-coding RNA, 73 nt
Organism: Mus musculus (house mouse)
Lineage: Eukaryota; Metazoa; Chordata; Mammalia; Rodentia; Muridae
Source: Rfam